CAGGUCUCGUCCUUAGGUGUUUGGGACUCAGCUGAGGGUGUGGGUCCCCGCGGUGGGGGCUGAGCCUCCUCGGGGUGUAGGGAGACAAAGGGACCCAGAUCCAAGUCGCCUCUUUCCUGCUUUAGGAUUCGGUGCCUUGGCUGUCUGCUAGUCCAUGUGCCGUCUUAUCCCCCGAUUCUCCUUCUAGUGGACCGUCAGAGAAGGGUGUGGACUCUGAGCCUCAGAAACAGGAGCUGAUACAGAAGAACCAAGUGUGAUAUUGAAUCUGCUAGACAGGUUCCUGGAGCAAGAGUGAAGAGAUCACGGUCCCAUCAAUGGGACACUUUAGUUUGAUAUGAGUGGAGCAAUUUCUUAUUGAGCCCCAGGAAGAAAAAAAUAGCACAGAAGAGAAAGAAUAGUAAUGGGUCAGCUAGACAAGAAGGUGGGAGUCAUCAAACAUGUGUCCCAGUAGCCAGACCCAUCAACUGAGCACAAGACCUUGGAGAUAACUGCUGUCCAGAAGGAGAUGAUUAUUAUUCCCAUGCAUUGCUUUAUCCUUUCUCUCCAUAUGAGAGCUUCCCUUAACAAGAUAUAACAUUGUUUUGCAUGUUGUUACCAC
This 598-nucleotide long non-coding RNA is filed under the name Equus asinus (donkey). Its description in RNAcentral is "lncRNA (ENSEASG00005036675.1)". The record is from RNAcentral. Lineage: Eukaryota; Metazoa; Chordata; Mammalia; Perissodactyla; Equidae.